AACCCUUGUCCUUAGUUACCAGCACGUUAUGUGGGCACUCUAAGGAGACUGCCGGUGGACAAACCGGAGGAAGGUGGGGAUGACGUCAAGUCAUCAUGGCCCUUACGGCCUGGGCUACACACGUGCUACAAUGGUCGGUACAAAGGGUUGCCAAGCCGCGAGGUGGAGCUAAUCCCAUAAAACCGAUCGUAGUCCGGAUCGCAGUCUGCAACUCGACUGCGUGAAGUCGGAAUCGCUAGUAAUCGUGAAUCAGAAUGUCACGGUGAAUACGUUCCCGGGCCUU
This 283-nucleotide ribosomal RNA is filed under the name uncultured Pseudomonas sp. RNAcentral's name for it is "partial 16S ribosomal RNA". It matches the Rfam family "Bacterial small subunit ribosomal RNA", at positions 1100 to 1382 of the family's 1533-position model. Lineage: Bacteria; Pseudomonadati; Pseudomonadota; Gammaproteobacteria; Pseudomonadales; Pseudomonadaceae. The record is from RNAcentral.